RNAcentral lists this ribosomal RNA (1471 nucleotides) under uncultured archaeon. Its description in RNAcentral is "bacterial SSU rRNA". It matches the Rfam family "Archaeal small subunit ribosomal RNA". The record is from RNAcentral.
UCCGGUUGAUCCUGCCGGACCCCACUGCUAUCGGGGUGGGACUAAGGCAUGCUAGUCUGCGCCCUCCGGCCAUGGGGAGGACGCGGCGGACAGCUCCGUAACACGUAGCUAACCUACCCUCAGGACGGGGAUAACCCCGGGAAACUGGGGCUAAUCCCCGAUAGGCGAGAGGGCCUGGAAUGGUCUCUCGCCUAAAGGAUGCGGGAACCAUGCCUUCCCGCAUCGCCUGAGGAUGGGGCUGCGGCCCAUCAGGUAGUUGGUGAGGUAACGGCUCACCAAGCCGAUAACGGGUACGGGCCGUGGGAGCGGGAGCCCGGAGAUGGGCACUGAGACAAGGGCCCAGGCCCUACGGGGCGCAGCAGCCGCGAAACCUCUGCAAUGCGCGCAAGCGCGACAGGGCUACCCCGAGUGCCACCCGCUGAGGGUGGCUUUUCUCCGGUGUAAUGAGCCGGAGGAAUAAGGGGAGGGCAAGUCUGGUGUCAGCCGCCGCGGUAAUACCAGCUCCCCGAGUGGUGGGGACGAUUAUUGGGCCUAAAGCGUCCGUAGCCGGUCUGGCAAGUCCCCCGUUAAAUCCAACGAUCUAAUCGUUGGACUGCGGGGGAUACUGCCAGACUAGGGGGCGGGAGAGGCCGACGGUACUCCUGGGGUAGGGGUGAAACCCUAUAAUCCCAGGAGGACCACCAGUGGCGAAGGCGGUCGGCUAGAACGCGCCCGACGGUGAGGGACGAAAGCUGGGGGAGCGAUCCGGAUUAGAUACCCGGGUAGUCCCAGCCGUAAACGAUGCGGGCUAGGGUGUUGGCGUGACCACGAGUCACGCCAGUGCCGCAGGGAAGCCGUUAAGCCCGCCGCCUGGGGAGUACGGUCGCAAGACUGAAACUUAAAGGAAUUGGCGGGGGAGCACCACAAGGGGUGAAGCUUGCGGUUUAAUUGGAGUCAACGCCGGGAACCUUACCGGGGGAGACAGCAGGAUGAAGGCCAGAUUGAAGGUCUUGCCAGACAAGCUGAGAGGAGGCGCAUGGCCGUCGCCAGUUCGUGCCGUGAGGUGUCCUGUUAAGUCAGGCAACGAUCGAGACCCGCGCCCCUAGUUGCCAGCGGCACUCCGUAGGGAGGCCGGGCACACUAGGGGGACCGCCGCCGAUAAGGCGGAGGAAGGAGCGGGCCACGGCAGGUCAGUAUGCCCCGAAUCCCCCGGGCCACACGCGAGCUGCAAUGGCAGGGACAGAGGGUGCCGACCCCGAGAGGGGGAGGUAAUCCCUAAACCCUGCCUCAGUUGGGAUCGAGGGCUGCAACUCGCCCUCGUGAAUCCUGGAAUCCCUAGUAACCGCGCGUCAUCAACGCGCGGUGAAUACAUCCCCGCUCCUUGCACACACCGCCCGUCGCUCCAUCCGAGUGGGGCUCGGGUGAGGCUCGGUCCGUUGGGCCGUGUCGAACCCGAGUUCCGCAAGGAGGGAGAAGUCGUAACAAGGUAGCC